This 6419-nucleotide long non-coding RNA is filed under the name Olea europaea subsp. europaea. Lineage: Eukaryota; Viridiplantae; Streptophyta; Magnoliopsida; Lamiales; Oleaceae. The record is from RNAcentral.
CAAAAGUUAGAAUGAAAGAUAAACAGUAAACUGGAGUAGAAUUGUCAAGAAGGUGUGCGAGCUAAGACUUGACUUGCAGGCUGGCGUAUUGGAAUAUCCUUAAAUAACUCCAUAUUACUUCCUCCUUCACUUGUCAUCUUCCCUGUAAUUGUAAAGACUGCUCUUCGGAGUUACUCUUUUUAUUGUAGUGAAACGAUAUCGUAGUCUUCUCUUGCUAGCAAAGCUUCAUUUUUUAUUCUCCUAAAACAGAAGAAAGCAGUAAAAGCAAUUUCUUCUCUUCGCUCGCCGAUGGCAAUUGACCCAAUUCUCUUAUUGUAAUCACUGUGUGUGUAAUUUCUUGUUGAUUUGUAGGCGGGGAUUAAUGGGCUGCACGCAAUCUAACAUCGAGGAUGAAGAAACUGUAAAUCGAUGCAGGGAGCGGAAGCAGUAUAUGGAGCGGGCCGUAGCGGCCCGCAACAAGUUUGCGGCUGCCCACUCGUCCUACGCGAUGUCCUUGAAGAACAUCGGUGCCGCCCUUAGUGACUUUGCUCAUGGAGAAGUUGUAUAUCCUGCCGGCGGCAGUGGCAGUGGAGGUGGAAUUGGUACUGAUGCCACCAUUCAGCCACCAAUUCUGCCUCAUGAUAGCAUUUCUUCUUUCCCUCCUCCCUUGCCUCCGUUCAAUCCGACUCCUUCACCACUACAGCGGGCGUCUACUGUUCCUGAAUUUCGAACUGAACUAAAGCGUACGAACUCGAUAACUGAGGAGGAGAGCGAAGAGGACAUUGAAAAUGAGAGUACUCAUAAUUUGAAGCAUCGCAGCAGUAAGAGUAGCGCACGGGGUAGUAUGGGAAGGAGAGAUGGACUUUCACAUAAGGAGGUUACUGAGGAAGAGGUCUUGCAGAAGCCACCUCCGCCAAUGCUGCCAAAUGAACCUGAUCACAAGCAUCUAGCCCGUCCUCCUCCUCCUCCUCCUCCUCCUCCUUCUGCUAUGAAUAACGACAAUUCUUGGGAUUAUUUCUUGGAGCCGGAUAUGCAAAGGUCGACACUGGCUGAUGUUGAGGAUGAUCACUACCAGGGACAGGAAAUUGAGCGAAAAAUGCGAGAAGAAAGGGCUAAGAAAAGUGAAAUGGAUGGUGAAAUUGAUGGAGGGAGGAGGGUUCAGAAGGUGGAGGUGGCCGCUGAAGUGGUGGAAGGCACAGUGAAUCUUUCAAAACAGCCUCCUCCGACUCAAAAAGUAGUGGCAACAAAGCUGGCCAAGAGAGUGAAAAUGGGGGCUCCAGCAGAAGGGAUAAUGAAAGGUGGACCGAGUAAUACAAACUUAUUGCAAAUAUUUGUGGAUUUUGAUGAUUGUUUUCUCAAGGCUUGCGAGAGUGCUCAUGAUGUAUCUAGGUUGCUCGAGGCCACCCGCUUGCAUUAUCACUCAAAUUUUGCAGAUAAAAGAGGUAUAAUAUAUAUAGUUGGUGUUUAAUGUGGCUAGAAUCGCAUAGUAAUGGCCUCGGAAUAAACUGAUAACAAUAAUGCUUAUUCAGUAUGAAUAUUGAAUAGUUUACAUACCAAAUUAAUAUACUUUAUCAAGGGAAGUUCUUUCACCUUAAUCAUGGUAGUUUACCGCAAAUGUUCAAUAUGAUCAUAAUUUUAGUUUGGAUUGGAAAGAGUGUCAGUCUAACUGUCCUGUCAGUGGUUGAAUGAUCCUUUCACUAUUUGAUGAUUAUAUAAAAGCUUACGUGAAAAAUAACAAAUGGCUUUGCAAAGAAAGAUAAAAAGAAAUUGCAUCUGCAUUAAGUGUAGUCGCGUAGUCAUUGAAACUAUAAGAAAAAUAGCUUUUAUUAUAUUUUGGCUUGGAGUCGGAACAAGAGUUAGUCCAAUAGUUCAGAUGAGCCAUGAAGUAUUCAUUUGAUGUAUAAAUACUACAGUCUUUUCUUUAUAGGGCACAUUGAUCAUUCUACUAGGGUCAUGCGCGUCAUUACAUGGAAUAGGUCCUUCAAAGGUUUACCCGACUUAGAUGAUGGAGUUGACGACUCUGAUUCUGACGAGCACGAGACUCAUGCAACAGUAUUGGACAAGAUGCUGGCAUGGGAGAAGAAGCUUUAUGAUGAAGUUAAAGUAUGCACAUUAAUAUUUAUGUUCAACUUGUCAUAUAUAUUCGGUGGAUCUUUAGACUUUGUUUCUUUAGUAAUCAUCUUGUUUAAUUUUCAUCAAAAAAGUUAUACUUAAAAAUGGAAGAGUUUCUAAAUUUCAUCUUAUUCUCAAUAAGGUGGUUGAAUUCGAAAAUUUUUCUUACAUUUUGUUGUUAAUUUUGAAUAUUGUGAACAGUUUGUUUAACAGCUUCAAUUUUUAUGUAAUAUUCUACCAAGCAUCAAAAUCUAAAUUUGGUGCUUUCAUUGAAGUUUUUGCCAUUGAUUGGCUUUUAGAUACUGGUAUCCUAGGUUCAUUGCUUCAAACCUCAAUCAGAAACUCCAGUGAGGGCAUGUACAACUGGAAACCAGCAACGUGUGACAGUGUUGAAUUUGACACCAUGUCAAAGAAAUUAAGCGUGUGACUGAUGAGUUAGCUCUGAUAUCAAAUUGACACAGAACUUUCUCAGAAUGAGAAUUAGAGAUGAUAUAAUAAAAGAAGAAUUUAGGAGGAAGAAAUCUAUAUUUAAUAUCAAUAAUUACUAUAGUAUGAAUAUAAAUGAAAUCCCAGGUUCCUUUACAUAGGAUAAAGAACUUAAAUCUCAAAGAUAAUUGUAUAACUUUCAUGGUUGGGGUAUAGCCAACUCCUGCUGGCUUGCUGGGUCUAAGUGGACAUCCCACUCAGAUUUAGAUGGUGUUUUAAUUAAAUGAAAACUUAAAUCUUAAAAAACCUCUAAUAAUCAACAACCUUUUCUUGUAAAAUUCUAGUUAAUCAAAACUACUGAAAUGUAAUGUAAAUCAAAAUCUAAAGAGGGAGGUAUAUAUGUUCAUAUCCAGUCAAAAUAUUAUACUGAAGGGAUUAAGAUGUAAAGUGAAAACCAAUCAAAAUUUUGUAGAGGAUAUUUGUCGUCAUAAAAGGAGGAGACAAGCCAAGUAUACAUUUAGUCAGUCCUACGCUUUCAAGAAAUGGUAUAGAUUUCCCUUGUAAUAAAAUUAGAUUUUAGCCUAUGAUUCUUGAAUUUGACAUGGUAUCUCCUAAUUUUGUUGUUGCAAAAAAAUGUCGGUUUUGGACAUUCAUUGCUGCUACCGGAAUGAGAGAGCAGUCCCAAUCAAUUUUCUUUCUUUUUUUCUUGGUAUUCAAUUGAUUAGUGUUAAAACAAGAUUCUUCAUUAUAGUUUUGUAUCUUGACUGCUUGAUUCAUCUCUGUGGCCUUCACUGUCUACCCUUAUAUAUGUAUCCUGAAUUCCUGAUGUGGCCCAUAUUUGAUGAACACAUACCAGAAAUAUCCUGCUGUAUCUAGUGAUCAAUAUUUAUUUAUUAGUAAUGGCGAAGAUGAUAAAUUUUUUGAAUCCCACAAAAUAUUCUCUGUUUCUUUGCCACUUAAUGCCGUGUAAUGUUUGUCUCUGAAUCUCUCUCUCCAUUAAGAAUAGUUUGUGGUUUGUCUUUGAUGCUACAGGCAGGUGAGCAAAUGAAACUUGAAUAUCAGAAAAAGGUAGCUUCGUUGAAUAAGUUGAAGAAACAUGGCUCAAACACAGGCGCCUUAGAAAGGAUGAAAGCAGCAGUUAGUCAUCUGCAUACCAGAUACAUUGUUGACAUGCAAUCCAUGGACUCCACCGUUUCAGAAAUUAAUAGUUUGUGCAAUGAUCACCUGUAUCCGAAACUUGUUACCCUUGUUGAUGCGUAAGUUCCUACGCUGCUAUGAGAAAUACUGCCUAUUGUCUAGCCGUUGUUGAUGAUCUGUAGCUUGCUUCCAUUAGCAUUUGUUAUAAGCAAAAUAAUUAGUGUGGCAUAUACCAUGAUCGCUUCAUGAAACACGUAACCUUAAUAUGAUACCAUAAGUUUCUCUUGCUUAUCUUCAUGUACAUGAACUUCCAGGUUUCAUUUUUCUUACUACUUCAAAAAUCAGUUAGCCUAUGUAUCUUCCAUUUAUUUUUAUCCCUAUUGCAAAUGAAUAUCAAAUUUGAUUUUUCCCUUUUGUUACUGCAAAGUUCUUUACACAAGAUUGCAUUGUUCUUGUUGAGGAUGUAAUUAAAAUAAAUAUAUUUGUCCUUUCAAUAACAACUAAAGCUGUUAAAUUGAUGUGACUUGACUUGGUAACAGAGCACUUAAAGUUCCUUAACUCAAGUCCAGAUAUCAUCUAUCAUGAAAAUUUUGCUCAUGUUGGCCUUUGAUGUAUGUGAGGUGCCCCUUGAAGAUAUAGUUUAAAUAAAUAUGUUUGUCCUCUCUCUAUCAUCUUAAUCUUUUAGAUGAGAUGGUAAAUUGGUCCAAGCCAGGUAUUUGGUCAAAGCCAUGAGGAUCCCCUCUAAAUGAUAGACUGAUGGAUAUUCAUGGUUAUGCAUUGUAAUCAGCAUUUAAAUUACCUAAAUUUUAUAACUUUUAUUUUUUAAAUUUCGUUCUCGUGCCAAUUUUGAAGAAAAUUGUUUUUAGAAAAUUACAAUUUCUGUAAAGGUUUUCACAUAUACGGCCCUAUAAAGUUAGCUUCCUUUUUUUUUUUUUUUUUUUUCUUUUUUUUAAUCCUUAUUAACCUUAAAAACUAUAUUAAGUCCUUUCUUAUUGAUCACAGGAUGGCUAUAAUGUGGAAAACGAUGAGAAUGUACCAUGAAAAACAAUCUAAAAUUGUGCUAGCUUUGAAGCAUGUGGACAUUCCUCAAUCUCCUAAACAAACAAGUGACCACCACCACGAGCGCACUCAACUUUUAUGUUAUGUUGUUCAGGAUUGUCAUUCACGUUUAAGUGAACUCGUGUCUCAGCAGAAAGAAUAUAUUAAAUCUCUCGACGACUGGUUGAAGUUAAAUCUCAUUCCUAUAGAUACAAACUUGAAAGAGAAAGUUUCAUCUCCCCGUGGGACCCAAAAUCCCCCAUUACAGACACUUUUGCAAGACUGGCAGGAUUACCUCCAGAAUAUUCCUGAUGAGCCGAAAUCAACUAUUAAAAAUUUUGCUGUUCAGAUUCAGACUAUAUGGCAGGAUCAGAAAGAGGAGUUGGACUUAAGAAACAAAUGUGCAGAGUCGGAGAAGGAGCUUAUGAGAAGGUCCCGCGAGUUCAAGAAUUGGCAUAAUAAAUAUAUACAGAGGAGAACCCCACCUGAUGUAAUGGAUGCAGAUAGAGCACACGAUAAGGAUUUUAUUGCAGAAAGGGAGCAUAUUGUUGAAGCAGCAAAAUUGAAAUUGAGAGGUGAUGAGGAAGCAUACCAAAGGCUGUGCAUGCAGGUCAGAGAGAGAUCUAUGGCGAGCCUCAAAAGCAAUUUACCAGGACUUUUUGAGGCACUGUCAGAUUUUUCUCUUGCUUGUUCAGAUAUGUAUAACAACUUGAGGUCCAUCGAGCAUUCACGAAAUAGAAGUCAGGGUUGAUGAAGAAACGCUGAUUAUAUCAUUCCAUGCUAUUGGGUAAAUAUUUGUUUCACACUUUCAAAAUAAAUUCUACUUUGUUGUAUCUUUAUGUGAAAUAUGGAGUGUUUAAUGUAACUUGUGAAUUAAUUCAUUGGUAUGUAAGGUGUGUUUUAUAUGACAUAUGACUGUCAAGGGGGUCUUAAAUGGUAUUUCUUUGUUAUACACUUGUACGUACUUGUGUUUUAUACUUGUGAAUUAAUACAUUAAUACUUGUUUUGUGCUUCAUUUUUUAAAUUCAUUUCAGCGGGCUGUGCAUUUCCCUUUUUUUGCCUAUUGUUUUUCUGCAGAUGGUGAAGAGAGUAGUUGGGUAAGCUAAGAGAGUUGUUCAAUCAAAAUCAUUUGACUAAAUCAAUCUUCCGCCUAAAAGGGUUGGUGGGCGCAGAGCUGUCCAGUGGGCUGGGAAGGGCUUGGCCGAGUAGGCCUGUCUACACAGAGGCCACCAGGCACUGGUUUGGAUUCGGCCAAACUAGGCCUGGUGACGUGGCUCAACUUAAUAUCCCUAGACGGGCGGAGGUGGUGGUUUGAUGAAGUAGCUGGUAAAAUUUACCAGUUCCACAAGAGUGUGAAAACGAGAAGGAAAAGAAAAAUGCAUAAUGCAAUGCCCACCAAAAAUUUGGGUUGGGCAGAACAAUGGGUGGUAGCUUGAAAUUUGUACCAAAAUGGAUAAAAUGGUCAAGUUUGAGGUAUAAGAUUCCUCCAAACCCUUUUUCGAUUUUGAAUGAUUCAUGGUCUGAUUUUGGGGAAGUGGAAGAGGUGGCCAUGUGUUGGAUGAUGCUUUCAAGGUGUGUCAGAAGAAAUUCGAAUAGGUUUAGCUUUAGAUAUUGUGGAGUUGAAUCAUAUCGUAGAAGCAACAUAAUUGAUAGAAAUGAAAUGUGCAGAUGGGGAAUCAGUAGGAAAUGUUGAUUUUAUGGUUCUGCAUAUGCUUUUUCUAAUAAAA